CCUACGGGGGGCAGCAGUCGAGAAUCAUUCACAAUGGGGGAAACCCUGAUGGUGCGACGCCGCGUGGGGGAAUGAAGGUCUUCGGAUUGUAAACCCCUGUCAUGUGGGAGCAAAUUAAAAAGAUAGUACCACAAGAGGAAGAGACGACUAACUCUGUGCCAGCAGCCGCGGUAAUACAGAGGUCUCAAGCGUUGUUCGGAAUCACUGGGCGUAAAGCGUGCGUGGGCUGUUUCUUAAGUCGUGUGGAAAAGGCGCGGGCCAAACCCGCGGACGGCACAUGAUACUGCGAGACUAGAGUAAUGGAGGGGGAACCGGAAUUCUUGGUGUAGCAGUGAAAUGCGUAGAUAUCGAGAGGAACACUCGUGGCGAAGGCGGGUUCCUGGACAUUAACUGACGCUGAGGCACGAAGGCCAGGGGAGCGAAAGGGAUUAGAUACCCUAGUAGUC
RNAcentral lists this ribosomal RNA (446 nucleotides) under uncultured bacterium. RNAcentral's name for it is "partial 16S ribosomal RNA". It matches the Rfam family "Bacterial small subunit ribosomal RNA", at positions 338 to 795 of the family's 1533-position model. The record is from RNAcentral.